RNAcentral lists this long non-coding RNA (853 nucleotides) under Homo sapiens (human). Its description in RNAcentral is "HSALNT0114147". Lineage: Eukaryota; Metazoa; Chordata; Mammalia; Primates; Hominidae. The record is from RNAcentral.
UGUUCCAAAGGCCAUUCUGCAAUGAUGAAGGGGGAUGAUUGAAAACCACAGAGCUCAGCGUGAUACCUCCGUCUGCUGUUGGCAAAGCUUUAAGACUGCUGGGAACUCAGACGAAAUCAUCCACAGGCUUGGAGGGAGCUGGACUAAAUUGGUCUAACUAGGACACUUGAAGGCUUGUGAAUCAGUUCACACGAUCAGUGUGAAAAGCGGGUAUGAAGACCCAGAUGCUGGUGUGUACGUGUGCAUAUAAGCCCCAACAGCUAGAAAUCAAGCCUUUCUGGCUUCCGAUUGUUGGAGAAGUGGAAACAGUUAAUGGAGUAUGCAAUGAGUUCUGGCGGUCAGAAGUCCAAAAUGGGUCUUACACGACUAAAAUCCAGAUGUCGACAGGGAGGAAGAACUGAGGAUCCUACAUCAUGUUAGGGAGCAGCAAGAGCACUGUAGUAAGACAUAACCCUCCUUUGCCUCUCUAUGUCCUCUGCCCCAUGCUGCUUAUGUCCUUAUUGAAGUUAAGAGUCCGGCUGUCAUUGAGAACCUCUGAUACUGCACCAUUUGAUGAAGGGCUAUGAAAAAUUCCCCCGAGAACAGCAAUGCACACUGAUCCUACCAGCUCAUUCACUAGAAUACAGAUUCUGCCAGAAACGGAGUAGAAAAACUGUGGCUCACCCGGGACCCAGUCUUUCCCCAGGUUCCCCACAGAUGAGCUCUGAAUCUGUUAUAAUUGACUCACCACGACCUGCAUGUACACAUGGAAUUCCUCAUGGCAUCCUUAGAUCUUUUUUGCCACAUCCUUUUGCUCUGACUCGAAGAGAUCCCUGGGUCCAGAAAGUGCUCUUCUUGGUCUGUGGGCAGAAAC